Molecule: unclassified non-coding RNA, 323 nt
Filed under: soil metagenome
Description: partial contains 5.8S ribosomal RNA, internal transcribed spacer 2, and large subunit ribosomal RNA
Rfam family: 5.8S ribosomal RNA (bases 1-120)
Source: RNAcentral
GAUGAAGAACGUAUCGAAAUGCGAUAAGUAAUGCGAAUUGCAGAAUUCAGUGAGUCAUCGAAUCUUUGAACGCACAUUGCGCCCUGUGGUAUUCCGCAGGGCAUGCCUGUUCGAGCGUCAUUUCAACCCUCAAGCUCUGCUUGGUGUUGGGCCCUGCCCGCUGCGGCCGGCCCUAAAGACAGUGGCGGUGCCGCCUGGCCCUGAGCGUAGUACAUCUCUCGCUCCAGUGCCCGGUGGUAGCCUGCCAGAACCCCAACUCUCGUGGUUGACCUCGGAUCAGGUAGGGAUACCCGCUGAACUUAAGCAUAUCAAUAAGCGGAGGA